This 395-nucleotide ribosomal RNA is filed under the name uncultured bacterium. Its description in RNAcentral is "bacterial SSU rRNA". It matches the Rfam family "Bacterial small subunit ribosomal RNA", at positions 28 to 417 of the family's 1533-position model. The record is from RNAcentral.
GACGAGCGCUGACGGUGUGCUUUAGACAUGCAAGUCGAACGAGAAAGCCCUUCGGGGUUAGUAAAGUGGCGAACGGGUGAGUAACACGUGGGCAAUCUGCCCCUCGCAGGGGGACAACCGGAGGAAACUCCGGCUAAUACCCCGUAAGUUCAAAGGGAGGCAUCUCUCUUCGAAGAAAGGUAGCUUCGGCCAUCCGGCGAGGGAUGAGCCCGCGGUGCAUUAGCUAGUUGGUGGGGUAACGCCUACCAAGGCGACGAUGCAUAGCUGGUCUGAGAGGAUGAUCAGCCACACUGGGACUGAGACACGGCCCAGACUCCUACGGGAGGCAGCAGUCGGGAAUCUUGCGCAAUGGGCGAAAGCCUGACGCAGCAACACCGUGUGUGUGAGGAAGGCCC